RNAcentral lists this ribosomal RNA (253 nucleotides) under uncultured bacterium. RNAcentral describes it as "partial 16S ribosomal RNA". It matches the Rfam family "Bacterial small subunit ribosomal RNA", at positions 524 to 776 of the family's 1533-position model. The record is from RNAcentral.
UACAGAGGUCUCAAGCGUUGUUCGGCUUCAUUGGGCGUAAAGGGUGCGUAGGUGGCGUCGUAAGUGGGGUGUGAAAUCCCGGGGCUUAACCCCGGGACUGCAUUCCAUACUGCGGUGCUUGAGGACUGGAGAGGAGACUGGAAUUUACGGUGUAGCAGUGAAAUGCGUAGAGAUCGUAAGGAAGACCAGUGGCGAAGGCGGGUCUCUGGACAGUUCCUGACACUGAGGCACGAAGGCCAGGGGAGCAAACGGG